UCUUGCUGUUGAAGAUACUCCUUCAAAACCCAUACGCUGCUUUGUGAACGCUUUAACAGUGUAAAGUCAUUGCUUAUCUGUGUGGAGUGUGGUUUUUGUAAGGGAACAAUAUACUGUGCUGCACAGGCUACAGAUCCACUGAUUAUGGGCAAUGGAACCAUGCUCACUGUGAACCCCAAAGAUACAACACGCAAGACUCCUUCCCUGUUUGUAUUCACCCCUCCGAAUAUAGGGGAUCCAGCAGCAUGUGUGGCCACUGGAUUCUUUCCAGAAAAAUUGGAAAUUUCCAUGAAGAUUGGUGACACAGUCUCAAAUGUAACCUCGAAUGAUAAAGCCGUGCUGUCCCUGAAUGAUAAAACCUACAACUUUGCCACCUUCAUGACUGUCAAGGAAAAAGUUGAGGAAGUCAUAUGUGAAGCAGACGGAAAGAUAAAAGAAUCCAUCAAGAAUGAAAAAUCAACUGAUGAAGCAGGUGUCAUCUCUGCCCAAAACUGUGAAAGAAAUGACACAUUCACUGUUCAGAAGAGGGUGACUGUUGAAAACAUACAGCUCAAUUUCAAGUCCCUGACUGUGCAAGGUUUGAGAGUGAUGUUUGUUAAAACUGUGACCUUCAAUUUUCUGAUGACGGCCCGAGCCUUGAUGUUCUGAGGUCUGGGACUGAGAUACAGGUGACUGCAAAGCACAGAGGGAGCUGUUGGAAUUGAAAUUGCUUUUAUAUUGCAUUGCUUCUAGUUAUGUUUUUGAAAAUAUA
Molecule: non-coding RNA, 751 nt
Organism: Polyodon spathula (Mississippi paddlefish)
Lineage: Eukaryota; Metazoa; Chordata; Actinopteri; Acipenseriformes; Polyodontidae
Source: the annotation of a RefSeq genome assembly